AGCUGAUACUAGUAAACAAGUGUCACUAGAGGACGGCAGGGAAACACCGCUAGUAGUUAAUUACCCCUACACAGCAUUACAAGUGAGAACAUCUCUUCGACAAAUUGAGGCAAAUGAACAGUAAUUCUGUCGAGGAGAAGUUACAUAAGUUACACUGAAAAAAAAAUAUAAAAAUUAAGGGACUAGCAACAAGAAUCACCAGUACUUUUAGACAGCAAUGGAAGGAACAGCAGCAAUGAGUAACAGCCAUGAGCAGACCGAGAAUGACACUGGUACCAGGAACUUGUCAGGGGACUCUUCUGCCACCACACCUCAUUCCACUUGGCCACCAACCCCUACCAGCACCACCAAUAUCACCACCUCCCUCACUGAAGAGACGAUGUUGUCUCCGAACGAAGAAAAUUUUGACACUUACUUUGCUCAUGAGAGAAUUCAGAUCCCUGAGUCAGAAAAUAAGCUGUUCAGUUUUCGAAAAUUUUGGGCAUUUACAGGCCCUGGCUUUCUCAUGAGUAUUGCCUACCUAGACCCCGGAAAUAUAGAGUCUGAUCUUCAGUCUGGAGCGGCAGCAAACUACCAGCUUCUGUGGGUGCUGAUGUGGGCAACUAUCCUUGGACUCGUCAUGCAACGUCUUUCAGCACGCUUGGGGACAGUGACGGGUCUUCACUUGUCAGAAGUUUGUUACCGACAUUAUCCACGCAUUCCACGCAUUCUGCUCUGGAUCAUGGUCGAGAUUGCCAUUAUUGGGUCUGACAUGCAAGAAGUUAUAGGGACAUCCAUUGCAAUUUACAUACUUUCAAAUGGAGUAAUUCCUAUACCAGGCGGAGUAGUAAUUACCAUUGCUGAUACCUUCACGUUUCUUGCUCUGGACCGCUAUGGUCUUCGUAAGCUUGAGGCUUUCUUUGGCUUUCUCAUCAUGGUAAUGGCUGGAACAUUUGGCUAUCAGUAUGGUGUUUCAAAGCCUGAUCAGGUGGCAGUACUGAAAGGAUUAUUUGUUCCGGGCUGUUACAACUGUGACCAGCGAGCACUCGCUCAAGCAGUUGGCAUUGUAGGAGCUGUCAUAAUGCCUCAUAAUCUCUAUUUACACUCGGCUCUUGUGAAGUCACGGGAUGUUGACCGCAAGAAGAAAGAAGAUGUAAAAGAAGCAAACAAGUAUUUCUUCUUAGAAGCUUGUUUGGCUCUGCUGUGUUCCUUCGUCAUUAAUGUGUUCGUGGUGGCUGUGUUUGCUAAAGGACUUUAUGGUGUCACAAACCAAGAAGUGUAUGAUCGUUGUGAAGCUGUCAACAACACCCACGCCAAUGCCUUCGAACAAAAUGAUGAGCUAGUUGAUGCAGACAUCUUCAAAGCCGGGGUGUUCCUCGGGUGUACUUAUGGUGUUGUGUGUAUGUACAUCUGGGCUAUAGGAAUUCUUGCUGCUGGUCAGAGCUCAACAAUGACUGGAACAUAUGUUGGACAAUUUGCAAUGGAGGGCUUCCUGAACCUUCGGUGGAAGCGCUGGCAGCGAGUGCUUCUGACACGUACCAUUGCUAUUAUUCCAACAUUCUUUAUUGCAUUCUACAAGGACAUCAAUGAUCUCACCAAGAUGAAUGAUUUACUGAAUGUUGUCAUGUCGCUGCAACUACCCUUCGCUCUCAUACCAGCUGUGACGUUCACAUCAUCACAGCACAUCAUGGGCGACUUCAAGAAUGGAGUAUUUACAAAGGUUCUGUCAUCCCUUUUGUCAUUGGUGGUGAUCGCCAUCAACUUGUGGUUCGUGAUCAACUUCCUCGACGCUAAUAUUGACCCAAACAGCUGGUGGGUGUACAUUCUGGUGGCUCUCGUCGGGAUAUUCUACUUCACCCUCAUCACAUACUUGACAUUGUUCCUGGUGGUUGCCUUUGGAUUUAACCUCUGCUGUCACUUACCUCUUUCUGGACUUAUGGGCAUGGAUGGUACUAGUCCUACCUUACAACACAGCUUCGAAGGUUCAUAUCCCAGCAUCUGAAUCAAGCAGCCUAUCAACUGGAUGUGCCUUCUGAGGCAAUGGACGAUAUAUACAGAUCUCAAGACAUCAGAAUGGAAGUGUCACAUUAAAAUCUCUAAGCUAAGUGGAACAGUCUUCAUGAAAAUAUUCUUCCCUCCAAGUGCUGAGUUUGCCUAAUGAAUUAUUUUUUAAAGUGCUAUUGAAGAAAGUCCAAUAUUUGACCAUCUAUCAUGUAGAUUUUUUAUAUUGUACUAUUAAGUGUUUGUAUUAUAGUAUUUAAGUACAGUACUUUAGUGAGUACGGUAUGUUUGUAGUGUAGUAGUGUGUCAGUAUUAUAGUGGCCAUAAAGUACGCAUUUAUUUUUGGGGGGUAUGAGCUAUACUUUCUUGUACAGCAUACCCAUUGUUUGACUACUGGCUGUGUAUACCCAUUCUGUCUAUUGUGCUACUAAACAUGUAUACCCAUUAUGUCUGCUGUGUGAUUUAUCAUAUAUAGCCAUUCUGUCUAUUGUGGAACUGGCUAUGUAUACUGAUUCUGUCUCUUGUGCUACUAAAUAUGUAUAUUUUGUGUCUAUUGUGCAACUUUCUGUGGGUAAUUUUUUAAAUCUAUUGUGCUGAUUUUCAUAAUUACCUUCCUCUCUGCUGCUUGCUUGUGAAGUUAUGUCUUAUGUAGUAAUGCUUUAACUUUGUGUAUUUACCCUUUCAUUUGAUAGACAUAUUGAUGACCAAGUUCCAUAUUGAUGACCAAGUUCCAGGGUUGGAAUCUUACUGGGCCUGAACCUAACUUAACUUAAUAUAACUUAACCUAAACUAUAACCUAAUCUAACCAUACCAUACCAUCAGGAGUGGUUCAAAUAGAAUUAAGGUCUAUUAGGAUAGGAUAUCUUUAGGACUUGGGACCUGGUAGGACUGGUUAGGUUAGGUUUAAGGCCCAGUAAAAUUGGAGCCUAUAUGACGAAUCGCCAGUACCAACAGUUAUUCCACUGCUCUCUAAACACCAUAAUGAGUCUGGGGCUCUAAUUAUACACACACACACACACAACACACACACACACACACACACACACACACACACACACACACACACGAAUUAUUAACCCCCUUACUCCUAUAGCGGUUUAACAUUAAAUCCUCUCAAAAUAGAGAAUUAAAUAGUAUACUCCGUUGAUGAUAAAAUAGUUAUGUAAGAAAGCGUAGAUGGUAGAUGAACAUGGUGGAAGUAUCGUCUUGGGCAAACAAGGGAUUUAAGUAAUCUCUCAGUGGUUCAUGGGAAUGCAACUUGCUUUUGAUUAUGAAAACAAAAAUGACAAUAGAAAUAUCCAAAGAUUGUUGAGUGGAUUCAAAAGAAAGUCUGUAAUGUAUACUGCUGAGGUUGCUAGAGAGAAGUUGAGUGGAAUGAAAAAGUCUGUAAAGUUGAAAUAGUAUUUGAUUUGAUCACAGUAAAUGAUCUACCGUACAGGAUGAAGAUUAUUCAGAAGACAAAUUAUCAAUUUUUUUUUUUUCGGGAAAUGGAAUGGAAUAGCAUCAAACUCAUGAAAACUAAACUCAAUAUUUGGGGAAAAGAUCUAUAAUUUCAUGAUUAGAAGAACCUUGAUAAAUUAUAAUGCAGACAGAAGAAAAGGUCAUAUGGAAUAUUUAAUUUCAUCUGAAACAUAAAUUCUGCAGUAUGAUUAAGAAAACAAUUAUGUAAUACACGAAGAAUCUAUAUGAAAUGACAUUUUUUGCCUUAUGAUCUGCGUGGUUAAGCAAAAGGCAUAACACCAUGAUGCUACAUUGAAGAAUUAGAAUCUAUUUUGCCGAGUGUGUGUACGUAGAGCAACACUAUUAAAGGCUGUGAUAUUUCUUAUUUUAAUGUCAUCCUCUGUCUGAUGGCUGUGAUUGGUAAUGUUAAAUCUUGCUGUAGAUUUAGUUGUUGACAUUUUAGUUGAUGCAUACACAAAAUGCUCUUUAAUAAGGGUAGCUUUUAACCUUUUCAGGAUAAUUGUUUAACCCUUGGAGGAUGAUGGUUUUAACCCCUUGGGGACAAUAGUCUAAACCUUUGGGGGCAGUUAUUUAAUUAUUUAAGUAAUAUGGUGUAACCCUUUUAGGAUAUUACUCAACCUUUUGAUAACAAUGGUUUGACCCUUUGAAGGUGAUGGCUUAACCCUCUUAGGAAUAUGGUUUAACCCUUUGAGGAUGAUACUGUACUGUAUAAUCCACCACCUGGUCUAGCAGAAUGCAUCAUGCUCCUUGCUGCCUGGUGUAUGAACCUAAAUUAUGCUCAAAACAUUCACAAAUAUAAGCCUAAAUUUUGCACUAUAGUAUUUCAUAUACAAUAAAGUGUAUAAAGUCCCUGUAUGGGUAUAUAAAUUUCAUAAACAUUUCUCGUAUGAAAAUCCUGAGAGUUCAAUUGUCAUCCUCAAAGGGUUAAUUAAUUAUUGGUGUAUAAUUAACUUCCAAGAGGUUUGAGGAAAUUAUUAUUUUGAUUUGCAACAAAGCAGGAAGAUUGCAAAAUGGUGAUGAUAACAUAAUAGCACAGAAUGUCUAUUGUCAGUGGGGAAAUGAUUUAUGAAAGUAUAACAUGAUAGCUAAUGAAAGAAGGAUUAAGGAGAAACAUGAACAAAGACGGUAAAGGUGUACAGUAAUAUUUGAUGGACAUGGGAAUUUGGAAGAGGGAACCAAUGAAGUUUAUUCAAACCACCUGAAGAUUAACCCCCGCUUAUUUCACCUUAAGAUUAUCCACCCUAACAGUAACCUCACCUUAUCCAACCUAACGUAAUCCCCCCACCCAAGGUAGCAUUAGGAUGAUCAGUCAUCAGGUAAAAUAAGCUGGAGGUUAAUCUUCAGGUGAUCUGCUUAUUCAUAGAAAUGUGACCAUAGUGCUUGCCCCAUAAAAAGCUGAGAGCUGUUAAAAACUACAGUCUAUUAAGAUAAAAGUUAUGAGUAAAAUGAGCAUCUGGUUUAAAUUACUUACUUAGAUUGGCAACAUCUCUAUGAACGCUCUCGUAUGCUAAUAUGAAGAGAAUUAUUGCUAACGUAGUCUCAGCAAUAAAAGGUUCUCAGGGCAAUGGAUGGAAGAAUAAGUUACCUAAAUAUAUUUGAUUAAGGGGGGGGGCAUUGUAGAAGCCAGCUUGGAUAUAAAACACUUCUGAGGUGUUAUGGAAGUUUACCUGGUCGAGAAUAUAGAGCCAUUGACAUGCUGAGUUGUAUGGUCAUAGACUUGCUGGUAGUUUUAGUUAGAGUAAGGUUUAUCAUUCACCAUAUUGCUUGAUAGCGCUUUGUCCUGAGAUGCCUGGUAUGUAAUUGGUCUUAAAAGUACAGUAAACACCAAGAAACUUUAGGGAUCACUACACGUAGUUUAAGUGUGUUGGUCUGUUACCUCGGAUUUUCAUGCUACUGUUCUUAUCCUUUUAGUCCAGUGGUAAAAUUCAACAUUCUUGUCCUACGUGCUUUAAAAUUUAUAAAAUUUGAUAUCAUCUUCGUGUGUAUUGCAUGUUGUUGAUUUCUUGGUGGUAAAUGAUAAUUAUUCCUAAUGAAGCUGAGACUUAUCAGGUAUCAGGUAACUUGGUGUUUUUUUGAGUAAUAAGCAAUGUGUAGUCUUAUUGACACACAUUGUAGUAACAGCACUUCUCUUUGGCUACUGUCCCCUCUGAAUUUCUUUCUGUUAUUAUUAAUUAACACUAUAUACUGUACUUAGAAUUUUCUAAUCCAGUCCAAUCUGUAGUCUUACCAUUGUGUAGAGUUACAGUACAAUAGAUUUGCAAAAAAUAACAUGUUAAACAAAAGUUCUUUGAUGUUCCAAAUAACACCGGGGCCAAUGUUCAUGGUCUUUGUUGUAGAUGUGCACAUAGAUUAUUUUAAAAUAAUUUUGAGUACAUGAAAAUGUGUUUGUUUUUUAUAUUCAGUUCAGAUAGAGUGAUGUGUACAUAAAAAAGUUAUGGAAGAGAAUUUUUUUUUAAUGUCUUUUCUUUUUGAAAUACAUUAUUAGAAUGAAUAUUACUCAUAAUUGUAAACUUAUUUAUAAUCUCUGCUCUAUCCAGUGCAAUCUCUGUAUAAAGUAUACUGUAUUUUAUAACUGCAAAUGAUAAUACUAUUUUAAGACAAAGUGUCAAGUGAAAAGUAAAUAUCUGGCAGCUCACUGAUGUCAUCACCUUCUUUCUUACAAUGAUUCACAUCAAAUUUUGUGCUUUUUGUCAAAUUCAAUAAUGUAACAUUAUUAAUUCUGAACAUGUGGCCAAGCUUUAACAUUUACAAGAUAUAAUUAGUGCCAAGCAUAUGGUCAUAUAAUUUUUUUAAAUAUUAAUUCCAGAUAUAUGGUCUUGUCACACCUUUAGAGAUGUUAAUUCCAAACAAAUUAAUUACAGGUGCAUAGUCAUUUUAUUAUCUUGAAUGAUAUUAAUUCCAACUAUUGGUCAUGUUCUUAUCUUUAAAAAUAUAAAUUCCAGGUAGUAUAUGGCCAUGCCUUCACCUUUAAGUGCAUAUUUAAACUUUAUGACUUUCCUGGGUAGCUUGUUUGCAGCAACUGGUAUGUCUUAGGGUCAACCACCAGAUUAACCCCCAUGGAAGAAUGUACAAUAAUGACAAUAAUAUCAUUCUUUCCUACUGCAAGCAGAGCUCUUAAAAAUGUUGCUAUGUAACUUUACUUCCUUUACUUUAUCCUCUUUGCCACAUGUCAGCUUACUAGUCAGUCAGGUGGUUUGUCAUUUCUCUGUUACAUGCUGUUGAUAAGUACUGGGCAUGGAUGGGCUCUUGAAUGCAGCUGAACGUGUUAUGGUUUUAGUCAAGUUUGGACUUAAAAGAGCUCACACUUGGUGCUACAGAGUAUCACGGUUUUCUGAACUGAUAGUCUUGUCAACUUGAAGCUGUGACCUCUGGUCGGGUGAACCAUCAGCUUUUUGAGACAUGUACAUUUGACUGAGUUCUUAUGCACCUUGAGAUGCUUAUUAACUUCAAUCUAAAUCUUUCAUUACCCUUCUGUUAGGUGUCUUGAUCUGUCUUGGUAUUGAGGUGUCUAAGAUCUGACUCCAACCUGGUAGCCCUCUUAUGGAUGUUCUCAAUCAAAAUGGCAGGAAACUAAGCAGAAUUAUAUUACUUCAAGUGAGGUAGCAUUACACUUUUGAAAAUCCUUUUAUAUAGAGAGGGGAAUGAAAGUGUUAAUAUAGAUAUGGGUACGUACUAGUAUAUACUGGUACAGUAUUAUAUUUGAAGAUGAUAUAGAAUACUGUUUAGGAUGUUAAUAUUGUUGGUUAUACAAUAAUAAUCAUAGAUGUGACUGGUAAUUAGUCAAUCUUCUUACAUUUAUAUACAAGAUGAAAGGCUACUAGAAAUGACCAGUAUGUUAAAGCAGCACGACAAUAAAAAAAAAUUUGUGUUUACUCAAUAUCAGUUUUAGAAAGACUAGCAUGAUUUUUUAUGAUGUGUCCAGCAAGUAAUUUCUCUCUCCUCAGUUAUCAAACCCUUAGUGAUCCAGGGUCAGCAUAAAGAAGCCAUCCUGAAGUCCCCCCUCAUACUGUAUGAAUUUGAAGGUAUGAAAUGUACAAAGAAAAUAUGAAGCAGGAAUAUGAUAAAAAAUGGAGUAAUUUCUUUGCUUGGUGUAUUUUUUUUUAAUGAGAUAGUUCAUAUUAAUUUUAUUUUUUAUCAUAAACUGUGCCAGAAUACAGACUUUCUGUUGCUCAUUGAUAUCAUAUACUGUAAUACAAUUAACUUUUUCCUUGCCACAUGACUAAACUGAUAUCAUAUGCCAGUAUGAUGUCAUUAUUUUAAGUUACAUUAAGUGAUGUUGUAAGAAAGGGGUUAAUCUUAUGCUGUACUUGAUUGUUAUUUGUUCCUGACUUAAGAUAUUUUAGAAUUUAUUUUUAUUAACAUUAUUUUGGUGUUAGUGUGUGAAUCUUUGCCUGAUUACCUGUAAUAUUUUUUAAGUGUCAAACAGAGUAGAGUACAAUAAUUGUUUAUCAAAGAUUUUCUAUGGCAUUUAAGAUUUAUAUAUUGAAUGGAAGGUGAUACAGUAAAUAUAGUUACUUUUUCAACAAACUCACGCUCUUAGAGAGGGACUUGAAGACACAAUUCAUGGUCUGUUUUAAAUUUCUCCUUAAUUUUAUAUAUUAAUGGUGCUGUUUUCUGAUACAAUGUCGCAAAUUGUUAGUGCUGUUCAUUUUAUAUUUUCAGUUUUUUUAUUAAUAUUGUGUUGUCACUUGAGCAUCAUUUAGUAAAAGUACAUGUACAAUUCUGUACAAGUCAACAUAAUUCAUGUUCAGUAAAGAAAUCUUACCAAUCACUCCAGAAGAGAACACAAAUUACAUUUCAAGAGGCAUAUUUUGGCAGCAAUACAGUAUGUAGAUUCAUUGAUAUAGUUGAAUAUAUAGUGGACAACUUUACUGCUGCUCUCUCCUCACUGAGGCGGCGCUCACUUCACCCGUCAGCAGUGUAAACCUAAUAAAGGAAUCUGGGAUUACUGUUCCACAAAACAGUUAAAUUAUUUUAUUAUGAGCCUGAUCUAACAUAGCAAAGAAGUAAGAUUAGGUUUUUAUGUUAGUAAUUUUAUCCAAUUUGUGGAAAUGUAACCUCCAUAAUGCAUUAUCAAGUUUGCAUUGCUCGUGAGUAGAGCAAGUGGUGUCAGAUGUAAGCACGCUACAGUGUAUCAAAUUUUAACGAUGUGAUAUAUAUAUAUAUAUGUAAAACAGUUUUGAUGGGAUUGAAAUGACAGAGCAUAUCAACUUUUUGCUUCAACAUCUUACUAUAAUGUUACGUACUGGUAUCUAAAAUACGGCUUUUGAUGAAUAAACACGAGGAAAUCUGCUCAUAUUAAACUGAACUGUAGAGGAAUGACAAAUUUUUGUAUUGCUGCUAACUAAGACAUCCUGAAGUCCUGUUUAAAUAUUAUAAUCAAGAGUUUGGUUAGUUGUUUUAAUUGAACUAGAAUUAUGUCUUGUAUAAUUUUAUGUGUCAGCCUUAAAGAAAAUUUUAUUGAUGAGCUUUAAGUUAAUAAUGUACACAUUGUUAUUAGACAUAGUCUCUACUAUGACCUCAUUCUGUUUUUAGUGUUUUAUCAGUACAGUAGUUUGAAUUCUUUUAAUCAUGUAAUCAGUGGAACCCUUGAUGUACAGUAUUUUCAGUAGUGUAUGUUAUGCAUUCGUACAAUCAGUAGAACUAUUGGUGUAUUUUUAGUAGUUUGUUUACAUUACACUUUUAAUAUUCUUAUACAAUAAUCAGUAGAACCUUUGAUGUAUCUUAUUCAUUCUUAUAAUCAGUAGAAUCCUUUGUAUAUUUGUUAUAGUUUAUCUACAAUAUAUUUUUAUUACUGUAAUCAGUUGAACCUUUUGGUAGUAGAUAAGCUGGUGUUGGUCAGCCUUGAGACACACCAGCAUGGGCGCUGUACUGUACUUUCUGUCUCUGUUAGUUACAGCAGCUUUCUAUUUUUGUUUUUUCUGAAGAAUUACCUCAUCCAAUUCAGUUAUGUGUAAUGCGGAGAUGCUCUUGAGUAUAUAUUUGUUGUUAUUACACCUAGUGAAUGCCAAAAUACAGUUAGUGAUAUUGUGCCAUAAUCUUGCAGUGUCAGGAAGACAUGGGAUAAGAGACAGGUCCAGAACCUCAACUUGUGGUGGUUUGAGUUUGAAAAAAAAAUCACUUAAUUUUUCUUGAAGUGUAGAAUGAGUUUUGGAAUUGAAAGUCUGAAAUUCUUUUAUAAAUUGUUAAACUGAUAUUAAAAUGGAAUUCACUGGUAGGGAGGUCAUCAGUACUGCAUACUUAUAUCUGUUAUCUUCACUCCACUUCCACUCUUGUCUUGAGUGGAUUAAAGGUAAAGAAACCCCCAAAAAGGAAUAAAGCAGGAAGAAUGGUGCAUGGUGAGUGUGAACAGUGAUAAAAAAGGUUAUGACAAUAAGUAGUAUAUACCUUACAUACAUUUAUUCACAUCCUCACUAUACAAACACGGUAUACAAAGUGAAUCGUAGCAGCAUCAUAAAUUCAUGUUGUUUCAUAUCACCAUGCAUGCGAAGUUCACCUCUCAGGUCACUAACACUACCAUCUUGAUGUGUCAUAUCAAGAAAAGCUGUUCAAUUUAAUGAAAAUUUGGUAUUGGUAACCUGCAUUGAGUAGUUUCUUUGAAGGAUUAUUUUCCCAUGCAGUUUUUCUCAACAUUUUAUAGGUUUAUAUUUUUAGUUAAUUAUUGCCACACUGAUCUUAGGAGAUGGGAGAUCUGUUUCUAAGCUGUUUGUUAUGCAAUAUUUUUUUAUUGAUGAGAUAUGCAUGCUAGUAGUUGCCUAUUUAAGUAGGAACUCCUGCAUGAUGCUAAAUGGGUAUUAAAGAUAUGUAUUCAUAAUGCAGUACAGCUGUUAUCUAUUGUUGGGAACUACAUUGGUACUUGUUUAAGUGGUAUUAUACGUAUACAGUACAAUUUUAAUGUGGAAAAGUUGAGUCUGCAUAUACUGUAUUUUGUUUAUGUUGCAUUAUCCAACUUACUGAACAAGAAUCAGACUGUCUGACUAACUGACAUGACCAACUGACUUACUGAUGGAGGCAACUUUUAGCCCAUCUUACACUUCUGUAGCUUAUAACUUUUCUAUUUUUAUUUAUCAUGCUUUAUUUUUACCAUAUCCUGUGCAUAUUAAGUAAUUUCCCUUAAAGUCACCUCUGUUAGGGAUAGGAGGCUCAUCAUGAACAUACCUGAGUGAGUUUAUGGUAGAUUCUUGUUAUUUAGGCACUAGAAGGUUACAUUACUUAUAGAGCAUUUAAACAAGAUUAUAGUCUUAAGUGUACAUGAUGUAUUAGGCAGUUUCAGAGACUAAAAAUGUUAAAAGGGUGAAUAUGCUGUGUUUAAUGUGGAAAAUUGACAGCUUAAUUUUUUUAUUCAGUGUACAGUUUAUUUAUUUGUUUUAUUUUCAUACUGUUUGGGUUAAUGGAGGAGUGAGUUCAGGAAUCAUCAGAAGUGCAGACUAUCAGAUAAUGACAGUGUAAACAACAUUUAAUUCAUAUAUUAUCUAGUAAGAUGUUCCCACUUACUCAUAGGACAUCUGAUAACCUUCCCUUGUGUUAAAGAACUUUUGUUCCCUACCUCCAGGAAACACCCAGGAGGAAGAGAUAUUUUCCGUGUGUAAAGUUUGUAACAAGACAAAUUAAAACUGGAAAUCAAACCCACGUUAAAAGACUUAUGCACUAUAUAUUAAAAUUGUAUUUUAUAUAAAAAUAAUUUUUGUAUGGGAAGUAGAUGCAGAGGUUGAUCUUCAUUUUUCUUAGUCUUUUGUACUGUAUUAUGCCAACUGCUUCAGAGAUGUUAGUUGCCAACUAUUUUUGUAACUCCUGUAGUAUUAAACUGCAUAAAAGAUUAGAUUUAUUUGCAGAAUUUUGAUAGAGGUGAUUUUUAUUUUUGUCUCAUAUAUACAUCACUAAAAAUUUGAAGUUCCAGUGACUUGCCCGCUGUUAAUUGUGAACAUAUUGUAGAGUCUUAUUUGCCUAUGGAGACUCGCUUAACACCAAAAAUAUGUGACUUAAAGAUUGUUGAAUUAAUAUUUGAAUUUUAGUAGUGUACUAUAUGAGCUUGAAAGUGAAUUCAUUGACUUAUGGUUCAUAAUUUCUUCAUGCAUUUACAUUUCACCAGUUUAAGAACAUGUUUUAGUACUGAGUCAAGGGAACACUAUGAAUCAAUAGUGCCUCAAUGAAGUUACUUUCAAGUGUUCAGGGAUUGAAUUCUCUCCAGUUGUGAUUAUGAAACUGGACAACUCAAGGCUGAUUAUUAAAGUGUGAUGAAUGGUUCAUUAUUUUCAUUAGUUGAAGAUUGUUGCUCUCUCUCUCUCUUGUUCUGGACAGAUUUCUAAAGUGAAAAAUUCAGGAACUUUAUGGAUAAAACCAAAGAAUCACAAAGUAAUCCUGUAUCGUUCUCUUCCUGUGUUCAUGAGCCAUCAGUUUCCAUUUGAGUAACAGCCUUGGCCAUUGAGCUGGGUGUUAGAGGCACCAGCACAGUGUACUCAUGCACAGAAUCUCAUGCAGCAGACACCAGCAGUGCUCUGCAUGUUGCAGUUAUAUAUGCAUAAUAAAAUAUAUUAUAUCA
Molecule: RNA transcript, 11980 nt
Organism: Homarus americanus (American lobster)
Lineage: Eukaryota; Metazoa; Arthropoda; Malacostraca; Decapoda; Nephropidae
Gene: Mvl
Gene name: natural resistance-associated macrophage protein 2-like
Exons: 14
Source: RefSeq, a predicted model, not a curated record